Molecule: ribosomal RNA, 376 nt
Filed under: uncultured bacterium
Lineage: Bacteria
Description: bacterial SSU rRNA
Rfam family: Bacterial small subunit ribosomal RNA
Source: RNAcentral
UACGGAGGAGGCAAACGUUGUUCGGAAUCACUGGGCUUAAAGCGCGUGUAGGCGGAACGGUAGGCGUCUUGUGAAAGCCCCCGGCUCAACCGGGGAACGGCUGGGCGAACCCCCGUUCUUGAGGCAGGUAGAGGCGAGCGGAACCAUGGGUGGAGCGGUGAAAUGCGUAGAUAUUCAUGGGAACGCCGGUGGCGAAAGCGGCUCGCUGGGCCUGUUCUGACGCUGAGACGCGAAAGCGUAGGGAGCAAACAGGAUUAGAUACCCUGAUAGUCUACGCUGUAAACGAUGCGCACUAGGUACGAGAGGUUCUGACGCCGAUCGUGCCGAAGCAAAAGUGGUAAGUGCGCCGCCUGGGGAGUACGGCCGCAAGGCUAAA